GCAACAACAACAGCAUUGAAAACACCGGUUCUCGUUCGAUCACCAAAGUUAAGCAACGUUGGGCCCGGUCAGUACUUGGGAAGGUGACCAUUUGGAAACGUGGUUACCGGGUUA
Non-coding RNA from Cordylochernes scorpioides, 114 nucleotides. The record is from the annotation of a GenBank genome assembly. Lineage: Eukaryota; Metazoa; Arthropoda; Arachnida; Pseudoscorpiones; Chernetidae.